This is a long non-coding RNA of Micropterus salmoides (largemouth bass), 1737 nucleotides long. RefSeq lists it as uncharacterized. Lineage: Eukaryota; Metazoa; Chordata; Actinopteri; Centrarchiformes; Centrarchidae. The record is from RefSeq and is a predicted model, not a curated record. The transcript is spliced from 3 exons.
AGUUAAAUAGAUGGAGGGGGUUUCAAGGCUUUUUAAUAUACAGUCUAUGCUUUAAGGGACCAGCUGUCAAAUCGGCGGAACAGCCACCGUCAUCAAAGAGAUGGUCCAUCUGGUUGCAAGUUGCCAUUAAAGAAGAUUAAGUUAUAUUUCAAUAGUCGUAAAAUAUUCGAGACCUUGACGCGGAGCUGAUGAAGCUAACGUUAAAAGAUGUGAAAUCGACGAAAGUUGAAUAUAAAACCGAGAUGGUUUGUCUGUUCGUGUUCCUGUUGGCCCGUAUGUCUCCAGGAUCUUCAGAUGUUACGAGUGAAACCUGGAGAUGAUGUCAUUCUGCCAUGUCAGGCUGGUGAAGCCUCCAUCAGAGCUGUAGAGUGGACCAGACCUGACCUGGAGCCAGAGUACGUCCUCUUUUACAGAGGUCGACGCUCACUUCCAACCCACAGCAUCCAUCCUUUAAGGACCGGGUGCAGCUGGUGGACAGAGAGCUGAAGGACGGAGACGUGUCUUUAAUUCUGAAGAACGUGAGCAGCAACGACGCUGGAACAUACGAGUGCCGAGUUGCAACAGAAGGAUCAAGACGUAAGAGAGCCGCCAUUGAGACUGAGCCAAUCAGAAUCAUCCAGCUGGAGGUUUCAGGGUCCAACAGCGGAGACGUCGAGGAGGGAAACUACGGCCUUUACUACGGACUGGGAGCAGCUUUUGUUCUGGUUUGUUCAGCUGCUGUUGGAUUGGCUGUUGUCUUGAAACAUAAAAGAUCUGAACAGUCCGAAGAAAAUUAGUUUGUAUGUUUCAACGUCCCCACAAAGGUAGCAAAACAAAUCUGUGUGUGUCAGUAUCCUUUUAUACAGCCUUCUGUCAGUAUUUGUCUUUCUACAUGUGUGUGGUAUCCUGAGCCAUCUACCAAUCAAAACAAAUCUGUGUGUGUGUGCGCGCACAGUACUGUGAAGUUUAGCGAAGAGAGCACAAUACUCAGGAGGAAGUUCAGUUCAGUUAAUCUGCAAUUCAAUCCCUGGCUCCUCCAGGCUGCAUGUCGAAGUGUCCUUAGGCAAGAUACUGAAACCCAAAUUUCCCCUGGUGGCUGUUCCGCCAGUCUAUGAAUGUCAGUUUAUGUUUGAGCACUUAGGCUCAGUGUGUGAAUGGUGAAUGCGAUGUGGUGUAAAAGCACUAUGAGUGGUCGUAAAGACUAGCAAGGCUCUAUACAAAUACAGAGCAUUUACAUGAUAAACUCAGGAAAGAAAACUUUAUAUACAGCGAUUUUGCACAACUAUAAAAGCUGACUACAACUUGCUGCUGUUGCCUUUAUUUAAUCGUUACUGUUUUAUUGCUUGUUUUUGUCCUGGCUGAGGGUUUUGUCUCAAUAUGGCUCAGAAUCUGACAUUAAUUAGUAUUAUAAUUCAAUUAUAAUACUAUCAGUCAGGUGCUUUUACAAAAUGUGGAAUCAUUGGCCAAUAUGUAAAUAUGUAUUUACAUUUUGUAUGUAUGUUUUUUUUUUUUUGUACUGGGUAUGUGUUGAUUGAUUUAUUGUAAGUGAUAUCUAAAUGAAAUCAGAAUCAUAAAUGGCCUUGUGAGAUUUAUGUAGAGUAGUUUAUUAAACUAUGCAUUAAAAACAAAACUAGACCUGUGGUCAAAGCAUCAGAUGUAACUCAGCCUGUCUCACUGAGUUCACUGAUUAAGACUGUUUUUACUGUAGAAAUACACCUGAGUAUAAUUAUAAAUAUUAAAUUUUUUUACAAUUGGAAA